CAGCAGCCGCGGUAAUACGAAGGGGGCUAGCGUUGCUCGGAAUGACUGGGCGUAAAGCGUGCGCAGGCGGUUAUAUAAGACAGAUGUGAAAUCCCCGGGCUCAACCUGGGAACUGCAUUUGUGACUGUAUAGCUAGAGUACGGCAGAGGGGGAUGGAAUUCCGCGUGUAGCAGUGAAAUGCGUAGAUAUGCGGAGGAACACCGAUGGCGAAGGCAAUCCCCUGGGCCUGUACUGACGCUCAUGCACGAAAGCGUGGGGAGCAAACAGGAUUAGAUACCCCCGUAGUCCCUGUCUCUUAUAC
RNAcentral lists this ribosomal RNA (301 nucleotides) under uncultured bacterium. RNAcentral's name for it is "partial 16S ribosomal RNA". It matches the Rfam family "Bacterial small subunit ribosomal RNA", at positions 509 to 807 of the family's 1533-position model. The record is from RNAcentral.